RNAcentral lists this ribosomal RNA (253 nucleotides) under uncultured bacterium. RNAcentral describes it as "partial 16S ribosomal RNA". It matches the Rfam family "Bacterial small subunit ribosomal RNA", at positions 524 to 776 of the family's 1533-position model. The record is from RNAcentral.
UACGGAGGGUGCUAGCGUUGCUCGGAAUCACUGGGCGUAAAGGGUGCGUAGGCGGGUCUUUAAGUCAGGGGUGAAAUCCUGGAGCUCAACUCCAGAACUGCCUUUGAUACUGAAGAUCUUGAGUUCGGGAGAGGUGAGUGGAACUGCGAGUGUAGAGGUGAAAUUCGUAGAUAUUCGCAAGAACACCAGUGGCGAAGGCGGCUCACUGGCCCGAUACGGACGCUGAGGCACGAAAGCGUGGGGAGCAAACAGG